UUCGUCUUCCCCCGUCGAGACAGUCUGGAUGGAACAGAUGGACGGCAGCCACAUUAUAUACAUGGUGCAGUGUCAGCAGCUUGCAGAGUCAUCAUCAGGACUUGCAUGCCAACAGCAUCAAGAGAUGUGAGGAGAGGAGCACCCCUGUGAAGUACAGAAACGUCCGUCUGUGAGAGACUCUGCGUGGGACUUUCUUGUGAUGCUGAGAGGAAACCACCGAGUGAGGGAGGGAAUGAGGGAUGGAGAUGGAGAAGUAACUGCUCAGCGAUAGCUACAACAACAUGAAAAAGCCAGAGGCCAGUGUGCGCAGACGAGGAACCGUCUCCAGAAAGCGAGCACGCCAGCCAUCCUGCCGGCCGAGUGCUGUGAUGUUCA
Anoplopoma fimbria (sablefish) is the source of this 375-nucleotide long non-coding RNA. RefSeq lists it as uncharacterized. The record is from RefSeq and is a predicted model, not a curated record. NCBI's taxonomy places the organism in Eukaryota, Metazoa, Chordata, Actinopteri, Perciformes, Anoplopomatidae. The transcript is spliced from 4 exons.